RNAcentral lists this ribosomal RNA (440 nucleotides) under uncultured bacterium. Its description in RNAcentral is "partial 16S ribosomal RNA". It matches the Rfam family "Bacterial small subunit ribosomal RNA", at positions 338 to 795 of the family's 1533-position model. The record is from RNAcentral.
UCUACGGGGGGCAGCAGUAGGGAAUUUUGCGCAAUGGGCGAAAGCCUGACGCAGCAACACCGCGUGAAUGUUAAGCCCUUCGGGGUGUAAAGUUCUGUCAAUAGGGACGAAUUUUGACUGCACCUAUAAAGGAAGCACCGGCGAACUCCGUGCCAGCAGCCGCGGUAAUACGGGGGGUGCAAGCGUUGUCCGGAAGCAUUGGGCGUAAAGCGUUCGUAGGCGGCAAGGUAGGUCUGAUGGUAAAGCGCGGGGGACAACUCCGGGUCGGCAUUGGAUACUAUCUAGCUAGAAAGUGGGAGAGGUAAAGGGAAUGCGUGGUGUAGCGGUGAAAUGCGGAGAUAUCAGGAGGAACAUCGGUGGCGAAAGCGCUUUACUGGAGCCUUAUUGACGCUGAGGAACGAAAGCGAGGGGAGCAAAUGGGAUUAGAUACCCCUGUAGUC